AUUGAGCGCUGGCGGAAUGCUUUACACAUGCAAGUCGAACGGCAGCACGGGUGCUUGCACCUGGUGGCGAGUGGCGAACGGGUGAGUAACAUAUCGGAACGUGCCCAGUAAUGGGGGAUAACUAACCGAAAGGUUAGCUAAUACCGCAUACGCCCUGAGGGGGAAAGCGGGGGAUCGAAAGACUCCGCGGUAUUGGAGCGGCCGAUAUCUGAUUAGCUAGUUGGUAGGGUAAAGGCCUACCAAGGCGACGAUCAGUAGCUGGUCUGAGAGGAUGAUCAGCCACACUGGGACUGAGACACGGCCCAGACUCCUACGGGAGGCAGCGGUGGGGAAUUUUGGACAAUGGGCGAAAGCCUGAUCUAGCCAUUCCGCGUGAGUGAAGAAGGCCUACGGGUUGUAAAGCUCUUUCGGCAGGAACGAAACGCUCUAGAUUAAUACUCUGGGGUAAUGACGGUACCUGAAGAAGAAGCACCGGCUAACUACGUGCCAGCAGCCGCCGUAA
Molecule: ribosomal RNA, 502 nt
Filed under: uncultured bacterium
Lineage: Bacteria
Description: partial 16S ribosomal RNA
Rfam family: Bacterial small subunit ribosomal RNA
Source: RNAcentral